UAACCUUUGAUCAUGUGAUAAACUACAUGAUAUUGCAGCCACGCUGCUGAGUGCCUUACUCAAUCUUUGUUCUUCCUUGUUCUUCUUGGAUUUGUGAAGUGAAUCCUCUGGGUUUCCCUACUUUGUGCUCUACGGCUUCCGUUCGGCUGCGCCGUAUUGUGUGGAUUAGGUUCUGCGGUUGUUCGGAGAUCGAGUCGAAGUCUUCGCGGUUUCGGUGCCUCUCUCCCCGUCGCUUGGUCGCAUCCAACCUUUGUUAGGUAUAAAGCUAGUUAUCCGCUGUUCGCAGCAAGUUAUCCUUGUUCUUUUGAUCUACUGUCAUAAAGAUCGGGCCACCCUCGUGCCGAUUCAUAUCGGUAGCCUAUCAACUAGUAUCUAAGCUUUUGUUGUCACGUUAGAUCUCACAAUCGUCCGCAUAUCUACCUUUAGUUUAUCUAUCGUUGGUUACUGAUUUGUUCAUCACCUAUAGUCCACUGAAAAAGCCACAAAAAAAUCUUAAAGCCCUUUGAUGGUAUUGUUAUCUUGUGUUUUUGUGUUCGUCAAGUUGCUAAUCACCCUCUUUACAUAUAUUAUGUUGUGUUUCAUUUGUCAUCCGCACUCCUGUUUGUGUAAAAAAGAGUUAAAAAAAGUUAGAGAAAAAAAUUUCAGAGAAAAGAAAAGAGAAGAGGAAAGGGGUUGUAUUGUGGUUUGCUCACUGAAAAAAAUUCAGUUUACAUAUUCAGAUUCUUAGGGAUUUAUAUGCCAGC
This 743-nucleotide long non-coding RNA is filed under the name Sorghum bicolor (sorghum). RNAcentral's name for it is "long non-coding RNA (SBIC_LNC002451)". Lineage: Eukaryota; Viridiplantae; Streptophyta; Magnoliopsida; Poales; Poaceae. The record is from RNAcentral.